AUCAAAACGCAUUACCCUUGUUUGCAAUUCGGAAAAGGAAAGGCGAUCGGUGCUGAUACAAAAACUCAAUAUCAUAAUAAUAAACAAGAUGGAUUUCUUCAGAGAUGCAUUCCGUCAAUACUCUCACCACCGUGCUCUGUGGCCUCUCAUAGGAUCAUGCAUGCUUGCAUCUUCAUUCACAACUUACAUCUUGAUUCGUUCAAGCAAGAAACAAGAAGUUGAAUGGAACAGAUACGCUGAUCGGUCAAACAAGGAAGCCAUAAUAGAAGACGCAAUAACACGUCCAAUGCAAAGAUUUCAGGCCAUUUCUGUCAACACUAAGGCCUAUCAAACUCGACCACCUACUGUCCCACUUCUCCAGGUCAUUUAUGAAGAUGGAGAAUACAAUUACCCAAAGAACAGAGAGCAAUCAUCAUAAGGCGUAUAAAACAACGACGUACGAUCAUCAGAAGAUGCGGAAUUAAUUAUAAUUUAACAAAUUCAUGGACAUUUUAAAUUACCUGACUACUUGGUUCGCCGAUAAUAUUGCAAUAUAUGCAUUUUAUCAAAAUUAUUUCAAUUGUUUGAAUAAUCGAGUAAAACACUUAUUCACUGAUUGUUUUGCUCAAAAAAACUGAUAAAAUUGGUUUAUAUUUUAAUCAGUCUUUCUUUACACGUUUCUUUAUUAGGCUGCUUUUAUAAUAUGAUAAAUAAAUUAUUGUAUGAAUAAAAUACAUCAAUGAAAGCCCA
Molecule: non-coding RNA, 729 nt
Organism: Styela clava
Lineage: Eukaryota; Metazoa; Chordata; Ascidiacea; Stolidobranchia; Styelidae
Source: RefSeq, a predicted model, not a curated record